Molecule: long non-coding RNA, 1494 nt
Organism: Sander lucioperca (pikeperch)
Lineage: Eukaryota; Metazoa; Chordata; Actinopteri; Perciformes; Percidae
Exons: 8
Source: RefSeq, a predicted model, not a curated record
UGAACUUUUGUUGAUGAAUGGUUAAGAGAAGCUAAUUGUUGGCUAAAUGUAAAUAACAUUUGCCCAGAGAAAAUAAUAAAGUCCCCAGCAUUAAAGAGAAGCAGCACAUUAUAGCAGCUAACAAAGAAGUGACUAACAGCAACAAAGAUGGCAGCACUUAUCUGGCAUUUUGAGGGCAUGACCGUGAUGUUACGAAGCUCCGCUAUGAACUCAACAACACGGGGAGCUGAAGGCAAAGCACUUUUGGCCAUCUUUGUACCAGCUGACGACACCAUUUGGACGAGACAAUUCGCAGCUCAGAAUAAUUUCCUCAGGGACAUGACGGUCAAGGUGGACAUCCUCCUUGGGGUAGAUUAUCACCACCGGGGGUUCUUAGAAAGAAGAAUACAUGAAAUUGAAACAUUGUCCACUUCCAUCUUUGUACCACUGGACAACACCAUCAGCCCUUGAUACUUCACAUGACAGGACAAGCUGUUCUUUUUCCACAACACUCUUGAAAAGGUCCUCCUCUGGGAUAUCAACAAAUGUUACCGGUGGCGCUGCAGAAAACGGUACACAAAAGAAGAGUUUCAACCCAUCCUUGUACCAGUUGACAUGAGCAGAAGGAUCAUGAGAAAGUUCACAGCUGAGGACAAUGGAAGAACCUUCUUGGAUGGACUUGGUCCUGUCAGUCUCUUGAAGCUCUGAGAACUUCACAGCAAACUGGAUGUCAUCAUCCUUUGACUCACAACGGUAAACGCCAGUGUGAGCCCGCUCGGCUGAUGGGACAACUAGACUCCUCAAAUUUCCCUCUGACUGGAUGUCUACACCAUUUUGAGAUGCGAAAUCGAUAAUCGGCUUCACAUGGUACGCUGUCACCAAGGAUCUCCACAGAGGUUGCAGAGUCAGUGGUCAGGCACUGUAGCCACUCCUGUGAGCCAGUGCCCACUUCCUGUCGCUCAAGCACAUAUCCAGAUGGAGGGUUCUUUCGUGAGUCCUGAGCAGGAACCCAUGAGAGAAGAGCUGCAUUAGCACGCUCUGUGUUAAUCUGCACACUCACUGGAGAACUGGGAGGACAAUGUCUGGCCGCUGAAACAGGAGAAACCUAUUAUGCAUCAAUUUCUCUUUGGACCGGAAUAACUGAUCAGUUGAUCAAUUCUAAAAGUAAUUGCUCUCAAUAGACUUUGUGCAAAUAUUGUAUUUGGAAUGCUACAAUCUACAGAUGAGGGACCCUACCUUUCACUCUUAGCAUAGAGGAAGUCUUGGAUCUGCCUACAAGGAAAGUCACGAGGCCAGAGUCUUGGGGCAUUGUGUUGACGAAGACCAGGAUGUGAGUCCGACCAAAAGACUUAAGGAUGGUCUGAUGUGUUUCACGCAGCUCUAUUGCAUCUUUAUACCAAUCUACCUCUGCAAUGCUUCUGCCCCCGUCGGGCAUCUCGCAGAGGUAAAUCCCAUCAUCGUCAACUCCAAUGUCACGGAUAGUUAGUCGCCGUUUUGUUCCCCACUCCUCCAUUC